CUAUACUGCAGUCGAGCGGACAGAUGGGAGCUUGCUCCCUGAUGUUAGCGGCGGACGGGUGAGUAACACGUGGGUAACCUGCCUGUAAGACUGGGAUAACUCCGGGAAACCGGGGCUAAUACCGGAUGCUUGUUUGAACCGCAUGGUUCAGACAUAAAAGGUGGCUUCGGCUACCACUUACAGAUGGACCCGCGGCGCAUUAGCUAGUUGGUGAGGUAACGGCUCACCAAGGCGACGAUGCGUAGCCGACCUGAGAGGGUGAUCGGCCACACUGGGACUGAGACACGGCCCAGACUCCUACGGGAGGCAGCAGUAGGGAAUCUUCCGCAAUGGACGAAAGUCUGACGGAGCAACGCCGCGUGAGUGAUGAAGGUUUUCGGAUCGUAAAGCUCUGUUGUUAGGGAAGAACAAGUGCCGUUCAAAUAGGGCGGCACCUUGACGGUACCUAACCAGAAAGCCACGGCUAACUACGUGCCAGCAGCCGCGGUAAUACGUAGGUGGCAAGCGUUGUCCGGAAUUAUUGGGCGUAAAGGGCUCGCAGGCGGUUUCUUAAGUCUGAUGUGAAAGCCCCCGGCUCAACCGGGGAGGGUCAUUGGAAACUGGGGAACUUGAGUGCAGAAGAGGAGAGUGGAAUUCCACGUGUAGCGGUGAAAUGCGUAGAGAUGUGGAGGAACACCAGUGGCGAAGGCGACUCUCUGGUCUGUAACUGACGCUGAGGAGCGAAAGCGUGGGGAGCGAACAGGAUUAGAUACCCUGGUAGUCCACGCCGUAAACGAUGAGUGCUAAGUGUUAGGGGGUUUCCGCCCCUUAGUGCUGCAGCUAACGCAUUAAGCACUCCGCCUGGGGAGUACGGUCGCAAGACUGAAACUCAAAGGAAUUGACGGGGGCCCGCACAAGCGGUGGAGCAUGUGGUUUAAUUCGAAGCAACGCGAAGAACCUUACCAGGUCUUGACAUCCUCUGACAAUCCUAGAGAUAGGACGUCCCCUUCGGGGGCAGAGUGACAGGUGGUGCAUGGUUGUCGUCAGCUCGUGUCGUGAGAUGUUGGGUUAAGUCCCGCAACGAGCGCAACCUUUGAUCUUAGUUGCCAGCAUUCAAGUUGGGCACUCUAAAGGUGACUGCCCGGUGACAAACCCGAAGGAAAGGUGGGGAAUGAAGGUCAAAUCCUCCGUGCCCCUUAUGGACCUGGGGCUAACCACCGUGGCUACCA
RNAcentral lists this ribosomal RNA (1208 nucleotides) under Bacillus sp. (in: firmicutes). RNAcentral's name for it is "bacterial SSU rRNA". It matches the Rfam family "Bacterial small subunit ribosomal RNA", at positions 49 to 1230 of the family's 1533-position model. The record is from RNAcentral. Lineage: Bacteria; Bacillati; Bacillota; Bacilli; Caryophanales; Bacillaceae.